This 894-nucleotide ribosomal RNA is filed under the name Triticum aestivum (bread wheat). Its description in RNAcentral is "partial small subunit ribosomal RNA". Lineage: Eukaryota; Viridiplantae; Streptophyta; Magnoliopsida; Poales; Poaceae. The record is from RNAcentral.
AUGACGUCUCCUAGCUCCCCGGCGAUGACCCUAUCCCACCCCAGCUCCGGGCGACAUUUCUACCUCGCCGUUGACCGCCUCCAGUUCAAGAUGAGGACACUACUGGAGCUCCUAGGUGUUGUCUCUGAUCGCCACGGCUCGGUGCCCAUUGCCAUAUGUGUUUCAUCCCGGGCUGAGCUCGAUGCUGUCUGUGCUGCUGUUGCCAACCUCCCCUUCGUGUCCUUAUCACCGCAGUACAGCGAUCAAGAUGAAGCUGAGCGUGCAUCUGUUCUUGAGAAAUCCCGUUGGGCAGCAAUACUGCGAAAUCAGAUUGAAGAUACUUCUAUUGAUGGAAGUCCCAAGCCUGAAAGGGUGGUCUUGAAGCUAAAUAUUACAGUUGUAACAGAUGCUUGCUUGCCUUCGGCGGCGAUGGGAGAGGCUCCGCUUAUGUCUCGUGUGCUGAUAAACUAUGAAUGGCCUACAAAGAAGGAGGCUUACUUAAGACGUGUAUCAGCAUGCUUGGGAACAGAUGGAAUCGUGAUUAAUAUGGUGGUUGGUGGUGAGGUAGCUCUUCUAAAGUCUCUGGAAGAAACCAGUGGAUUCGAGGGGUUGGCGUGUUGUUUCCGUGGGAUUUGCGAGCAUCUUCGUAAACCUGCGACGAGUUCUUGCUGCGAUGGAGUUUUGUGUCGUGAAAGAUCGGACCAACAACGGAAUGACCCUCGUCUCGAGGUUCGCUCCUCAUCAAGUGGUAUCAGAGCACUGGUGUUUCUCACGGCACUUCGAAGGAGACGGCCGGCGCGCCGUCAGCAAGGAGCUGUUGGAGGCUCUCCGGCGAUUUUUUGCUGGAGGAGAAAGGUUAUGGUGCUGACCUUUUUCACACCUACUGUAAAGUGGGAGAGAGAGUCUGCGCCAUGA